Molecule: long non-coding RNA, 5737 nt
Filed under: Mytilus galloprovincialis (Mediterranean mussel)
Lineage: Eukaryota; Metazoa; Mollusca; Bivalvia; Mytilida; Mytilidae
Source: RNAcentral
AAGNACUCAGAAAGAAUUCUUCAAACAUGCUUAUUAGAACUAGAAAAGACGAAUAUUGAGAAUAAUUCGUUGAAGUUAGAGAACAAAAAUCUAAAUAAGAGAGUUGUAGAAUUGAAGAAGGUUGGUAUAUUGUACUAGUAAAUUUGUCAACUAAAUGAGGGAAGCACUAAUGACAGGACGAUUGCCUGGAUAGUGACAAGCCGGUUGACCGGAUGAGAUAUAAAUAGUCAUAACUUUUUUGUUUUUCGGUAGAUUUGUUUAAUGUUUGUAGACCUGAAUGAUAUUAAAAUAUAUUUUAUGAAAAUCAAACAAAAGAAGUGAAACAAAAUAAUUUUGAGCAAAUAAAGUUAAGCGGACGGUAUUCACACUUGCUGAUAUACGCUAUACAUAAAUUCAACAAGUGAUAAUAUGUCUUUUGUUUUCCAACUAAAUGACACAAUUUCUCAUUGAUGAAUGAUUAUCAUAAUUGAUCGAUGGUCCUUUAAUGUUAAGUGGCAAAAGUGGCAAAAUAAUUGCAUAUACUGAUAGUUGUGAAUUUUUUUGGAGAAAAAGAAACAUCUUGAACAUCAACUAAUGAAUAUAUUGAAAUUAGGAUCCAUAAUUCUAAAUACAUAGGUUCAUACUGCAGUAAAUCAAAAAAAUACACCGGUUCAUAUUGCAGAGAAAAAACUUGUAAGCGUAGUUAUCUAAUUUGUUUAUCCACUGUGUAGUAGUGAGUUCAAACCAACCAUGUGUCAGGUGUGCUUGACUCCAAUAUUUAUUGACUUAAAUUGGAUAGUCAGUUUUCUUGUCUGAGGUCUGUGUUAAAAUUCUUGAAGGACACUCUGGAAUCUUCUACUUAUAUUGAUAAAUGACUUAACGCCAAGUUAUAGCCAAUAUUACUGAAAUGUUAAACACCAAAAAUCAAUUAACAUGAUUAAUCAACCAAAACAGAAUAUGCAAAACUGUCCAAGAACAAAUUAAAUUUUGUUAAAAACAUUUUCUUCAUUCAAUAUGCGGUUUUUUUUUAUUUUAGAAACCUGAGCUUCCAACGUGUAGUAUAUGUAUGGAAAGAGAACGUAAUACUUAUAUUGACCCAUGCGGUCACACAUUUUGUAUGGUGUGUGCCACAGAAGUAAUGUGUCGCAAUAGACAAUGUCCAGUGUGUCGAAUAUACAUGUCUAAAACCGGACAACUUUAUCUCAAUUGAAAAAGGAGAAGGUAUGUUGAGGGGUAAAAAGUACGCGCGUUAUUCAGUGUGCACCACAUUUUUUAUGUUAUUUCAAAUAGACUGACAAAAAUAACAGUUAUUUCUAAUAAUUUAAUUUUAAAUUCCAUCAUGAAAAAACUUUGAUGAUGUCAUGGUCACAUGACUAAAAUUGUGUCUAUGAUAUGAUAAACAAAACGUCGUCAGCCAAUCAGAAGAUGUGUUUCAUCCAAAAUUAAAUUAUUGAAAUAUAUUUCAGUAGUAAAAUUUAUAAACAUGUUUGUAGUUUCAAAGUUGCUUAGUACUAUGUAAGCUUUUCUCUUAACGCUGUAAAAUAUAGGUUAUACUUCUGUAAAUAUUGACAAAGCAAUCUUCUUUUAUGGCUAAAACUGGCCACUUUUAUUAUGAAGUUUCCUAAAAAAAAAUAUAUUUGGAUUUUAUAACUUAUACAAAAGUUCUGCACUACUAUCCCUGGACUUUGGGUCUUCCCCAGAGUUCAAUUUGGCCGCACAUGUGUUUUAAUACUGGGAACAUUUACAAGAUGAAGCAUACACACCUAUCUCCUGCAAAAUCAAUAGUUUUUCUAAGAAAUUUUCAUAAACAUGUACAGAAAAUGCAAAAUAACAAAAAUAUCAAACUUGAAGAAAAAUUCAGAAUGGAAAGUCAUCUAAUCAAAAAAAUAACUUUUCAUAUUCCUGACUUCAUACAGACAUUUCCCAUAGGCAGAUCCAGGGGAGGGGGCCCUCCUUUUGUGAGAAAAAUUUGGUUGAUUAUAUAGGGAAUCACUGAAGCAUGCCUGCAGCAGCACCCCCCCCCUUAUGUCUGUCAGUGGGCUCCCCCUUAUUAGGAGUUCCUGGUCUGCCACUGUUUCCUUAUGUAGAAAAAGUGAGUUCCCUCAUUUUCUUGAUUAUCUAGAGAGAAAUGGUAUAGUGGUCAAGCAUUUACUUCCAAAAUUCUGAUUAGAAUUUUCACUGUCAUCUCUUUUUUAAUAAAUAGUUCCCAAACAUUUAAACUUACGUUUUACUUCUGUUAUUUUAUUUACACUUAAAUUGACAAUGUAUUAUUUUUUUUUCUUAUUUUUCUUCUUCCACACAUUUUGUCCAUCGUGUUUCUAAGAAUUGAAUGGACCAAUGUUGAUGGAACUAUAACUAUAAUGAGGACCCCCAUUUGAAGUUGUGCACCUUGCUAUGGAAUGGUAAAAGAUGGCCGCCGUUUCCAUGGAAACAGCAUAAAUGCGAAAAAAAUCAAAGUGUUCCAAACUGGAAGAAACUCCACAGGAAUGUUAACUGGCAUGUGCUGAUUUCAAGUUUGACUUUGGAAUUUUCAAAAUGGCUGCCGUUACCAUGGAAACAGCUAAAAUAUCAAAAAUUCUAACUCUUUCGUUAUAAGAUCCAACUGGAUGAAACUUUAUGAAAAUGUUCUCCAGUAUGCCAAGAUGUCAAGACAAUAUUUGGAUAGUUCAAAAUGGCCGCCGUUGUCAUGGAAACUGGGGCCAAGUUUUGCAUUGACCCUAUGGAAAAAUGCAUAAAAUCAGCAUUUUCUCAGAGAGUAGUGCACCAAAGUAAAUGAAACUGUAUUGAUAUAUAACAUGACAUGUGGCAAUGAGAUGUACGCUUUUAGAAUUUUGGAAUUAUCUACUGUAACCAUGGUUGCAGCACAAAUGUUCAAAAUUUCCAAAAAAAAUUAAAGUGCUGCAAACUGGAUGAAACUUUACAGGAAUAGUGACUGACAUGUGCGGAGUUGCAUUUUGAAGUUGGAAUUUCCAAAAUGGCCGCCGUAACCAUGGAAACAGCAAAAUUGUCCAAAAAAAUUUCAAAAUGCUUCAAACUUAAUGAAAUUUUGCAAAAAUGAUAGACAUUGCAAUGUAGAUGCACUCUUUGACUUUGGAAUUUUCAAAAUGGCUGCCGCUCGCCUGGCAAUGGGGGGACGAGGGUGCCAUCCGUUAUUGCUAGCAAUUACAAAUCUAGUUUAUUCUUUCUUCUUCUUCCGCCACUUAAAAAAUGAACUGUCCGCAGCGUUUCUCAAAACGUUGUAGAUGACUUAGAUUCAUAAAUGUAGACAAUAUUCUAGGUGAGCCAUCAAUUUUUCGUUUGUGCAUUGGGGUCUAUUAAGGGUAUUUGGGGGUAGAAGGAGGAAGGGGUUUACUAUAGAACCCUAUGGGAUUUUAUUUUCUAAAAUUUUCAAAUGAAUAUAACUUGAAAACUGUAAGUGAUAGAUACAUGCAGUCUUCAGAAUUGAUUAUAGGUCAAUAAAACAAAUCACAUGAAAUAUAGGGGGAGUCCCUGGGGAGUUCAUCCCCACCCCCUUCAAUUUGAGAAUAUGCUUAUAUUUUGUAAACGGUCCAGAAUCCCCACCCCUAAACAUAUAUAUUGUUGAAUGGACAAUAAAACAAAUCAAAUGAAAUUAAUGGGAUGUCCCAGGGGGCCAUCCCCCACCCCAGUCAAUUUGAGAAUGCUAUUAUCUUGUACGGUCCAGAUCCCCACCCCUAAACUACAUAUAUUCUUGUAGGGACAAUAAAACAAAUGAAAUGAAAUUAAAGGAAGUCCCUAGGGGGUCAUCCCCACCCCCUCUUGUUUGAAAACUUGUAAACGGUCAACAUCUGUUUGAAAACUUGUAAACGGUCAACAUCCCCACCCCUAAACCAUAUAUAUUCUUGUAGGGAACAAUAAAACAAAUGAAUGAAAUUAAAGGGAAGUUUGCUAGGGGGUCACCCCACCCCUCUUAUUGAAAACUUGUAAACGGUCAACAUCCCCACCCCUAUACCAUAUAUUUUCUUGUAGGGGACAAUAAAACAAAUGUAAUGAAAUAAAAGGGAAUUCUGUAGGGGGUCACCCCACCCCCUCUUGUUUGAAAACUUGUAAACAGUCAACAUCCCCACCCCUAAACCAUAUAUAUUCUUGUAGGGGACAAUAAAACAAAUGAAAUGAAAUAAGAGGGAAGUCCCUAGGGGGUCACCCCACCCCCUCUUGUUUGAAAACUUGUAAACGGUCCAGAUCCCCACCCCUAAACCAUAUAUAUUCUUGUAUGGGACAAUAAAGGUAAUCAAAUGAAAUUAAAGGGAAGUUCCUGGGGGUUGCCCCACCCUGUUCAAUUGGAGGAUGUGCUAUUAUCUUGUAAACGGUCCAGAUCCCCACCCUUAAACCAUAUUACAUUCUUGUAGGGGACAAUAAAACAAAUGAAAUGAAAUGUAGGUAAAUUGCCUUGUGGUCACCACCACCCCCUCCUGUUUGCAUACUUGUAAAUGGUGGAGAUCCCUACUCGUAAGCCAUAUAUAUUCUUGUAUGGGACAAAAAAUCAAAUCAAAUGAACAUGGGAUCACAUGAAUGGCGAGUUAUGGGAGCUUUGUUUGGGAGACUUCGUAACAGCAUCCUGUUACAAUUACUUCUUGUUCAACUAUAUACUUCUGUUAUUUUACUUACUCUUUUAAAUUGACGAUGUUAAUAUAAUUCAUUGAAACAAAAAUGUUUUUUUUUUUGCACACACAAUAGGCUAAACCUUAACAGGUCUGGAGUUAUGUAACCUGGAAAUUGUAUGGGAAAUGACUUUGUAAUAGUAAAAGGUUUACCCUUAUCCGUCCAUAGGUAUCCAGAAAUUGGUUUCUGUUCUCUAACUUUAGUUUAUCCUCAACCAAAUGUUGUGAAAUUUAUGCGCAAUAUGCUUUAUUACAGUUCUCUAGUUAUGUCACUGUAUAAUGUUAUUUGCAAAUUGGAGCAUUAUCUGUGUGCCAUUGGCAAAUUAUCCAUUUAUUUUUUUCAGUAAUUGCCCUUACCAUAUAAAAUAUAUGGAACUGAGGGAGAAAUUUUAAGCUUUUUUUCUAAUAUUAUAUCUUGAAGUGGAAAGCAUGGUUUUUAAGUUUACAUUUCAAAUUUGAUUUUCCUUAAAUUUAUUUACAGGGCCAAACUUCCUCCUGGUGUUUAUUUUCUUCAUUGUGAUACGUACUAUCAAGAUGAUAAAAAGAUUGAAUGCACUGAGUACCAAUGAGUGAAGAUGACCACAGUUUGAACAGAAAAAGAUACAAGCACUAUAUUCUUAGUAGUCUUAUAGUCUUUAUGUAUUUGGAUGUCAAAGUCAUUCUAAAGCAGGAUUUUCGAGGGUAGACAUAUUCAAAUUAUCUACAAGACAAAUUGAUAUCUUUUAGAUUGAUUGUUUUGAAUAUAACAGAUCCAGUUCAUAGGCGGAAUCAGGGUAUUUAAAAGAAGAGCGUAAUUGCAGGAAAAAUAGAAUAUAUAAGACAAUUGGCAUGAUGCAAAAAUGGAAGAAAAAAAUACAAAGAAAAUGAUCAUAGAGAGGCAUACAAUGCCCUUUACACCGAUUGGGAUCUCAACACCGCCCCCAACUAAGCCAAUGAAGUUUGUAUGAGAAAGAACUACAAUUAUAGUCUGCUUAUUGGGAUAUCAUCAUCAUUCAAAAUGUUUGGUUGCUGUCUGUGAAAGAUAAGAAAGCUGGUUUCCCAAAAUUGGGAUACUAUAUAUCUCUGUUAUACAUUGUAUUAACUUAUAAAAUUUAUACCAAAUUCAUAGGACUUAAUUUUCAAAAAGAUUCAUUAAAAGU